UACGAAGGGGGGCUAGCGUUGCUCGGAAUGACUGGGCGUAAAGGGCGCGUAGGCGGCGCAUUUAGUCAGGCGUGAAAUUCCUGGGCUCAGCCUGGGGACUGCGCUUGAUACGGGUGUGCUUGAGGAUGGAAGAGGCUCGCGGAAUUCCCAGUGUAGAGGUGAAAUUCGUAGAUAUUGGGAAGAACACCGGUGGCGAAGGCGGCGAGCUGGUCCAUUACUGACGCUGAGGCGCGACAGCGUGGGGAGCAAACAGG
Molecule: ribosomal RNA, 254 nt
Filed under: uncultured bacterium
Lineage: Bacteria
Description: partial 16S ribosomal RNA
Rfam family: Bacterial small subunit ribosomal RNA
Source: RNAcentral